GACGAACGCUGGCGGCGUGCUUAACACGUGCAAGUCGAACGCUGAAGCUCAGCUUGCUGGGUGGAUGAGUGGCGAACGGGUGAGUAACACGUGAGUAACCUGCCCCCUUCUUUGGGAUAACGCCCGGAAACGGGUGCUAAUACUGGAUAUUCACUGAUCUUCGCAUGGGGGUUGGUGGAAAGGUUUGUUCUGGUGGGGGAUGGGCUCGCGGCCUAUCAGCUUGUUGGUGGGGUGAUGGCCUACCAAGGCUUUGACGGGUAGCCGGCCUGAGAGGGUGACCGGUCACAUUGGGACUGAGAUACGGCCCAGACUCCUACGGGAGGCAGCAGUGGGGAAUAUUGCACAAUGGGCGCAAGCCUGAUGCAGCGACGCCGCGUGAGGGAUGGAGGCCUUCGGGUUGUAAACCUCUUUCGCUCAUGGUCAAGCCGCAACAGUGGUUGUGGUGAGGGUAGUGGGUAAAGAAGCGCCGGCUAACUACGUGCCAGCAGCCGCGGUAAUACGUAGGGCGCGAGCGUUGUCCGGAAUUAUUGGGCGUAAAGGGCUUGUAGGCGGUUGGUCGCGUCUGCCGUGAAAUCCUCUGGCUUAACUGGGGGCGUGCGGUGGGUACGGGCUGACUUUGAGUGCGGUAGGGGGAGACUGGAACUCCUGGUGUAUGGUGGAUUGCGCAGAUAUCACGAAGAACCCCGUGGCCAAGGGGGGUCUCUGGGCCGUUACUGACCCCUCCGAGCGGGAGCUCCGGGGCGAACACGAAUCGAUAUCCUUGUAGUGCAAGGCGGAUUUUCGAGGGGAGUGGAGCGGAUCGGUGCCCCCCACCGCGGCAGGGGCCCGGGCCCAGCGGGUCUCCCCCCACCCCCCAUAAUGCGCGGUGGCCAAAUCGACCUGUUUGCGGCCAGGGGUUGGGGGGGGGAGUUGAUC
Molecule: ribosomal RNA, 915 nt
Filed under: uncultured Fusobacterium sp.
Lineage: Bacteria; Fusobacteriati; Fusobacteriota; Fusobacteriia; Fusobacteriales; Fusobacteriaceae
Description: bacterial SSU rRNA
Rfam family: Bacterial small subunit ribosomal RNA (bases 1-814)
Source: RNAcentral